Non-coding RNA from Myodes glareolus (Bank vole), 5740 nucleotides. NCBI's taxonomy places the organism in Eukaryota, Metazoa, Chordata, Mammalia, Rodentia, Cricetidae. The record is from RefSeq and is a predicted model, not a curated record.
GCUAACCAGAGGAACUCUGUCUUGAAAAAAACAAUGUUUGGUUUGUUUUGGUUUUGAUACAAGGUCUUACUAAUGCUGGUUUCAAACUCAUGAUCGUUCUGCUUCUGUUCCCAAAUGUGCUGUUAUAGGCAUAUGCUACCAAGCCUGACUUGUUAGAGACAUCUAUAGAUUAGAUCAGGGAAAGUCUAUGAUAAUCUUCUCUUCAAAUUGCAUGUAGUUAAAUCUUAACAACUAAUCUAAGUUGAAUUUAAGUAGGUGCAGUUCUCUGACCCCUCAGUCUCAUUUCAAAAGUCUGUGAAUUCUGUGGGACUUACAGAUUGCCAGUGUUCCUCCUACAGUCUGAGUUCUGUGGCACCUACAGCUUCAGUGUUCCUCCUGUUUGAAGGAACUGUUUUUCUGAUUUGAUUUUUUUUCUUAAUUUUCAUUUUCCAGUUCUUAUUUAUUUAGUACUUUUUUUUUGUACCAGACAUUGAGCUUUUAACCUACAUUGUUUAAGGAAUUUUAUAGUUUGCCAUAAAUUAUGGGUGUACAAACAUGGAGAUUGCACCAAACCUCCUCUCCCAUCCUGGAUAACAUAGUCUUGACAGUAAAGACUCAUUUCAGUGAUUAAUACAAGAAGCCCUUAAAGACAGGAAGGAGAUGAACAGAUGCAUGUGACAUUAAAUUGGUAUGUGAAAAUAACAUUUGAGGUCUACCAUGUACUAAAUACUUUAUACAUGGUGUGCUUAUAUCUUAUUGUUUGAAAUAUGCUCUAUGUAACCCUGGCUGGCCUGGACUUGCUAUAUGGACCAGGCUGGCCUUGAAUUUAAGGGAUCAGCCUGCCUUUGCUAGAAGUAAAGGCUGUUAGGCCUCAGGGUACGUGGCAUAAUCUUUCUGUCAUUGAGAUAAACAAAUUUAACAAAAGUAGCCUGCAUUAUACAGAAAACAACAAAAUUUUAAAAACAAACAUACUAUAAAUCACUUGAAAGUCUUUUCCAGUACUAAAAUUUGAAACUGGGCAUUUUUGUUUUCACUUUGUAUCAUUAGACAAACCUCACUCAGUUGGCUACAGGUCACAAGUCUCCUGAGACAGACCUUGAACUUGUAGCCCUACUGCUUCAGACUCCUGAGGCUAAAAUUACUGGCCUAUGUCACCAGGUCCAACUCAGUCACUAGAAUGGUUCAGAAUGUUUGUUCCUGUUGACCUCCCCUUUAAGGACAAAGACAGUAUGGUGCCUCUGUAUGGUAUUGGAAGAGUCAGGAUUUUUCUAGAGUCCUGAGAUAGUAGUACUUUUUAAAGAAGUUUAAACAUAUGAAGUAGUAGGGUUCACUACAGUGUGUGUGAUUAUUCUUUGUUCUAGUUUAUCCCUGCCCUUCCUUGUCCCCCUCCAUCCUCCCUGCCCCUCAGGCUGGUGUCCUCCCUCCUAAAAUAGCUCCGCCUUCUGCUUUCAUAUCUCAUACAGUCUAUAUCAUGCCAUGAUAUUGUUACUCCCCCACUUAAGAUCUGUGCACACUCCAUGGUCUCUUAAACAUUUCCUUUUGUUUAAGACAUGAUCUCAUGUAACCCAGGCUGACCUCAAGCUCACUAUGUAGCUGAGGUAGUUUUUGAACUCCUGAUCCUUCUGCCUGUCUCACAAGUAUUGGGAUUACAAGUGCCAUAAUGCCAGGCUGAAUUCUUUUUUCUCUCAGUAUUUAAAAUGUUAUGUGUAAAAGUGUUUUGCCUUGGUGUAUGGAUGUGUAUUACAUGCAAUGCCUGGUGCUCAUGGAAGUCAGAUGAGGAAAUCAGAACCUCUGGAAUGAAGUUAGAGAUGGUUAUUAGCCUCUCUCUGUUGGUGUUGUGAAACAACCAAGGUCCUCUGAAGAGAACAAGUGUUUUCAACUGCUGUACUACCUUCCUAACUCCUCAGGCCGUAGUUCUCAAUGAUAUGGGUGCACGAAGCUCUUAAGGAUUUUACAAAAGUUUUGGAUCCAUUCAAGAUAUUACUCCUGCCCCCAUACAUAUAUAGAAAGGGAAUUGGCCAAGUCCCGGACACUACAUCUAUGUACAAAUGCUUGUAGCUCUUCUGGGAUGCAGUAAGGUGCAUGACUCAGGUAAAACAGCCCUGGAAGUGUGUGAGUAUACACAUAGCCUGGAGGAAGUUCCUUUCAUCUGCAUGAUACUGUUAAAUGCUGCCACACCUUAGUGGUACUCUGUGAACUUGAGAAAACUUACACCAGGCAUCCUGAUGGGUCACUGAAUGGCAUGCUGUGUUUUUCUCCUAUAAGUAGAAAAUUUAUCCAUUUUGUGUUUAGAUUUAUGAAUGUGUGCUAUAACCAAAUGGUUGGUAUUACUUUCUUUUAACCUUUACAGUGCACAGUGUACAGUCUUAAAGAAAUGAGGAUACAGCAUAUUUUGGACUUCGUAGUGAGUGGUUACUCUCAUUUACUACCACUCUCCCCUCUGAAAUUCACUUGGAAUCCUUUAGAUCAGCCCCUCUGAAAUUUUCUUGGAUAAACAAUGGUGACAAAAAAUUGUCUUGCCUCAUAGUGGAUAACAAUGGCAUGUAGAACAAGUAGUCUCUUUGAAAUAUGGCAUAGCCCACUAAGUGGCGAGGGUCAGUCUGGCUAAAGGAGAACAGUGGCACACAUACACCAUGUUUUCUCAUCCCUGUUUGAUGAUCCUCUUGUCAAGGAAUCUUCAAGAAAUACCUGCUGACAUUUAACCAGAGCAGCUGUUUUAUCUGCUUACUGAAGCUCCAGAAGCAUUCACCUUCUACCUGAGAGCAAGCCUGCCAGUCAAGUAGGUUUAGGAUGGAAGGAAUGCAAAGUAUUUACUGUGCUCAAAGUAUAGAACAGGGAGUGAUUCGUGUUCUGAUCACCUGAUAGGUGCCGAGGUCUUGUAAUUUUCAUAUCAGCUUUUGGAGACAAACAAUAGGCUUUCAUUCACACUCGCUAGGCUGCACAGUGUAGCUAACGUCUGAAUGCUUACUGUGCAUAGAGUCACUGUCCCAAGGGUCCUUUCCUGCAUUUCCCAUUUGUUUCCUCUCAUCUGAUCUUUCUAAACAGCCCAGAAGAGUCUUAAUAUUGUCACCCCAACUUGUUAAUAAGAAAACUAAAAUGUAAAGCUAUUAGACAAUUUACAAAACAGUAUUGCAAAACUGGGAUUUUGACCCCUGGUUGAUUUUAAUCCACUUCAACUUCCUCCUCAUAACCUCUGGCAUUGCCAUCAAUCAUCAUUUGUAAGUGCGGCUGGCAAUUUUGGUAGUCAGGGAAGCAUUCAGGGGAUUCACUGCUGUGAGACAUGGUGCCUUCCAUGUCGGGAGGACUCUGGUAAGAUCAGGUUGGAAGGAUAUGGCAGACUGAGGAAGGCAGAGGUGGUGUAGUCAGACCUGUUUAGGAUCUGAUUACAUCUGAGCCUCUGGCCCUUUUUGCCUGCCAGCUGACUCAGAGCUGGCAGAUGGGCCAGUGCCUGGGCAGGUUGAUUUCAUAGCCUUAUACUUCAAAGGAUCUGAUUCCUGGCACUUCUGUACACUGCUUUCCAAAGAGCACAGCCUUGUGGGGGAGGUAACGCUAGAGUCUCCUGGUACAAAAGCCCUAGGCAGUGUUUGCUCGGAGUUCAAAUGUAUGUGGCUUAUUUGGGGUAAGUCAGUAAAAACCACAGGCCCAGCUCUAAGCAGGCUGAACGUUGGUCACUUGAACCUUUAAUGUGGUGCAGGCAACAAGUUUGUGACUCCUAGAGUGUCUUCAAGUGUCCCAAGUGUCUUCAGCAUCCAAUUAUAGGUAAAUUACAAGGACUCGGUUUUCUUAUGUGUGACAUUUAUAUUUUUGUUUAUUUAUUUGGGCAGGAUCUUGCUAUAUAGUUGGCUGGCAUAAAUGCACUAUAUGGAACAAGCUGGCCUUAAACUUGGAAUGACCCUCCUGUGUCCACGCUAAGACUAUAGGCAUAUACCACCUUGCCUGGCUGAAAUCGAAUUUUUGUCAGUCCUUCAUAUGAUUGUGGAUAUUCAAAAAGGAGUUUUGAUGAGGACCCAGUGAUGAUGGUGUACCAGAAACCAGAGGCCUUGAAACCAGACCAAUGACUCAUUGCAAUGAACAUUUUGUGGACAGGGCUGAUUGGACAAAAGGAGUAUACUGCAUGACAUAUCGCAGCACCCGAUGCCACUAGGAUGAAUGACAAGAUGUCCCUCGAAUAUGGAAUUUAGGAACUUGAAGAAGAGUGGGCGGAAGGAAACACAGUCCUGCCCAACACUUUGUUGUUGGAAGAUACAGCACUUCCAUCUCACCUCAAGCAGUGUCAGAGAGCCUGGAAUUCCAGCCCAUGGUUCACCUGUGCAUCAUCUUCCCUGCUGUGAAAGGUGGCCUGCCUCAUCAUGUGGCUUUUCCUGGAGAGAUUGAAAAGAGACCACAGACUGUUUCACCCAAGUCUCGCUUGGUGAACCCGUGAGUUUAUGGGCUUCUUUACAGGGCCAUGGCUGACUCACAGACAGCUACAUCCCUGAAAAGCAUCUUCCGGGGAUGGGUGAUGAACGCUCCAGCCUUGGAGCCUCCUCCCUAAUUGGCAGACAGUUCAGCUGACCUGAGAGUCUGCACUGCCCAGUGAUUGUUUACCACUAAUAUAUAGCCUCAGGGGAGGGGCCUUGUGAGACCUGUAACUCUCUGAGCUUCCUGAGUCUUCGAAGUUUUGGGAGUCCUGUGGGCCUCCUUUGUCCCUCCAGGAAGAAAUCUUUCAAUUUGAAGGAAAUCACUGCAGAGUAGCACUAACGUGUGUUCAUGUGAGAGGUGACGCCUCCACUCGGAGCCUCUUUUCAGUGCCUGCUUACCUCCCCAGCUGUGGACAACAUCUGCAGAUGCUCUUUCUGAGCUUCAGAGCCACACUUGCAGCUCUUGAUUGGGUUCCAUGGCCUGAGUCAAGUCGCCCCUCCCCCCCCAUCUCCAGAGGUCAUCUAGUCCUCCUCUUUUGUGAUUUCCAACACCGCCUUCUUCAUGGGGCAUCUAGUGCCAAGGCCUGAGUCCAGCACACAGUGGCUCCCACAGCACAUUUAAUAGCUGGCUUAGAGGAAUUACGUUCAGACUCAUUAUAAGUUCCCAGCAGGACAUCCCCAAAGUAUCUAGUUGGGGCCAAGUGUUGUAACAUUCACCAUUGAUUCUACUACCUGCAGAGCUGUGAACCUGAGGCCAGCCUGGUCUACAUAUUGAGUCCCAGGUCAACCAGGGCUACAUAGUGAGACCCUGUCUGGAAAAACAAAACAAACAACCAAGUUGAUUAAUCUAUUUAUACCAUGUUUCUCAUCUCUUCUUCCUUUAUUGGUAACUUGUCUUCUUUGGGAAGUUGACAUUUCCUGCUGUUUUUUCCCUUCCCAACUAUUGGCAAUCCUGUACAGGAACAAUAUUACUUUUAUGAAAAGCUGUUUUUAAUAAUAAUUUAAAGUAUCAACAGAGGCCUAAUCAUCCCUCUGACGCUUUUCCCAGUUGUAAACUUAUAAUUUUCUAGGAAUCUCAGAAGAAAUCCCAUUUACAGAAAAAAAAGAUUCACCCCCUUGCGAAGCCUUUUUGGCACCAUUUUUAUCUCAUCUGACUGAAAUCCUUUCAGAGGCACUGCCACAGCCAUCCCAUAAUCCAUUGCUCAACAGACAUUCCAUAAUCCAUUGCUCCACAGUCAUCCCAUAAUCCAUUGCCUUUGAAGAUGAGGAAAAAGCCUGGCAGUGGUGGUGCAUGCCUUUAAUGCCAUCACUCGGGAGGCAGAGGUGGGCAGAUCUCUUUGAGUUCAAGGCCAGCCUGGUCU